UACGUAGGGGGCAAGCGUUGUCCGGAUUUAUUGGGCGUAAAGAGCGUGUAGGCGGCUUGGCAAGUCUGCUGUGAAAACUCGAGGCUCAACCUCGAGCUGUCGGUGGAAACUGCUUGGCUAGAGUCCGGAAGAGGAGAGUGGAAUUCCUGGUGUAGCGGUGAAAUGCGCAGAUAUCAGGAGGAACACCGAUGGCGAAGGCAGGUCUCUGGGCUGUAACUGACGCUGAGGAGCGAAAGCAUGGGGAGCGAACAGG
RNAcentral lists this ribosomal RNA (253 nucleotides) under uncultured bacterium. RNAcentral describes it as "partial 16S ribosomal RNA". It matches the Rfam family "Bacterial small subunit ribosomal RNA", at positions 524 to 776 of the family's 1533-position model. The record is from RNAcentral.